Molecule: ribosomal RNA, 751 nt
Filed under: uncultured bacterium
Lineage: Bacteria
Description: bacterial SSU rRNA
Rfam family: Bacterial small subunit ribosomal RNA
Source: RNAcentral
CCCGCGUACAUGCCACCGGGGCAUCCCGGAGGCAGGAAAGGCUUCGGCCGGACAGGGAUGGGCAUGCGGCGCAUUAGGCAGUAGGCGGGGUAACGGCCCACCUAACCGACGAUGCGUAGGGGUUCUGAGAGGAAGGUCCCCCACACUGGUACUGAGACACGGACCAGACUCCUACGGGAGGCAGCAGUGAGGAAUAUUGGUCAAUGGUCGGGAGACUGAACCAGCCAAGCCGCGUGAGGGAGGAAGGUACAGAGUAUCGUAAACCUCUUUUGUCAGGGAACAAAGGCGGGGACGUGUCCCCGGAUGAGUGUACCUGAAGAAAAAGCAUCGGCUAACUCCGUGCCAGCAGCCGCGGUAAUACGGAGGAUGCGAGCGUUAUCCGGAUUUAUUGGGUUUAAAGGGUGCGCAGGCGGUCUGUUAAGUCAGCGGUCAAAGCCCGGGGCUCAACCCCGGCCCGCCGUUGAAACUGGCAGUCUCGAGUUGGAGAGAAGUAUGCGGAAUGCGCGGUGUAGCGGUGAAAUGCAUAGAUAUCGCGCAGAACUCCGAUUGCGAAGGCAGCAUGCCGGCUCCACACUGACGCUGAGGCACGAAAGCGUGGGUAUCGAACAGGAUUAGAUACCCUGGUAGUCCACGCAGUAAACGAUGAAUGCUGGCUGUCCGGGGGGACUGACCCCUGGGUGGCGAAGCGAAAGCGAUAAGCAUUCCACCUGGGGAGUACGCCGGCAACGGUGAAACUCAAAGGAAUUGACGG